CCUACGGGAGGCAGCAGUGGGAAUUUUGGACAAUGGGCGAAAGCCUGAUCCAGCAAUGCCGCGUGUGUGAAGAAGGCCUUCGGGUUGUAAAGCACUUUUGUCCGGAAAGAAAUCCCUGGCUCUAAUACAGUCGGGGGAUGACGGUACCGGAAGAAUAAGCACCGGCUAACUACGUGCCAGCAGCCGCGGUAAU
Molecule: ribosomal RNA, 193 nt
Filed under: uncultured bacterium
Lineage: Bacteria
Description: partial 16S ribosomal RNA
Rfam family: Bacterial small subunit ribosomal RNA
Source: RNAcentral